UACGUAGGGGGCUAGCGUUGUCCGGAAUCAUUAGGCGUAAAGAGCGUGUAGGCGGUCCGGUAAGUCCGCUGUGAAAGUCGGGGGCUCAACCCUCGAAUGCCGGUGGAUACUGUCGGGCUAGAGUGCGGAAGAGGCGAGUGGAAUUCCUGGUGUAGCGGUGAAAUGCGCAGAUAUCAGGAGGAACACCUAUUGCGAAGGCAGCUCGCUGGGACGUUACUGACGCUGAGACGCGAAAGCGUGGGGAGCAAACAGG
This 253-nucleotide ribosomal RNA is filed under the name uncultured bacterium. RNAcentral's name for it is "partial 16S ribosomal RNA". It matches the Rfam family "Bacterial small subunit ribosomal RNA", at positions 524 to 776 of the family's 1533-position model. The record is from RNAcentral.